UCUGGAAACUNUCUGACUUGAGUGCAGAAGGGGGGAGUGGAAUUCCAUGUGUAGCGGUGAAAUGCGUAGAUAUAUGGAGGAACACCAGUGGCGAAAGCGGCUCUCUGGUCUGUCACUGACGCUGAGGCUCGAAAGCGUGGGUAGCGAACAGGAUUAGAUACCCUGGUAGUCCACGCCGUAAACGAUGAGUGCUAGGUGUUAGGCCCUUUCCGGGGCUUAGUGCCGGAGCUAACGCAAUAAGCACUCCGCCUGGGGAGUACGACCGCAAGGUUGAAACUCAAAGGAAUUGACGGGGGCCCGCACAAGCGGUGGAGCAUGUGGUUUAAUUCGAAGCAACGCGAAGAACCUUACCAGGUCUUGACAUCCCGAUGCUAUUCUUAGAGAUAGGAAGUUACUUCGGUACAUCGGAGACAGGUGGUGCAUGGUUGUCGUCAGCUCGUGUCGUGAGAUGUUGGGUUAAGUCCCGCAACGAGCGCAACCCUUAUUGUUAGUUGCCAUCAUUAAGUUGGGCACUCUAGCGAGACUGCCGGUAAUAAACCGGAGGAAGGUGGGGAUGACGUCAAAUCAUCAUGCCCCUUAUGACCUGGGCUACACACGUGCUACAAUGGUCGGUACAACGAGUUGCGAGCCGGUGACGGCAAGCUAAUCUCUGAAAGCCGAUCUCAGUUCGGGUUGGAGGCUGCAACUCGCCUCCAUGAAGUCGGAAUCGCUAGUAAUCGCGGAUCAGCACGCCGCGGUGAAUACGUUCCCGGGCCUUGUACACACCGCCCGUCACACCACGAGAGUUUGUAACACCCGAAGUCGG
RNAcentral lists this ribosomal RNA (805 nucleotides) under uncultured bacterium. RNAcentral's name for it is "bacterial SSU rRNA". It matches the Rfam family "Bacterial small subunit ribosomal RNA", at positions 625 to 1430 of the family's 1533-position model. The record is from RNAcentral.